GACGAACGCUGGCGGCGUGCUUAAUACAUGCAAGUCAACUUGACUUUAGAUAGCAAUAUCGAAAAGUAGGGUGGCGCACGGGUGCGUAACGCGUAGGUAAUCUGCCCUGAGGUCUGACAUAACCCGUCGAAAGGCGGGCUAACAUCAGAUGAUAUAUAAUCACGACAUCGUGGAAAAUAUCAAAUCUUCGGAGCCUUGGGAUGAGCCUGCGUCUGAUUAGGUAGUUGGCGGAGUAAUAGCCCACCAAGCCUACGAUCAGUAGCUGGUCUGAGAGGAUGAUCAGCCACACUGGAACUGAGACACGGUCCAGACUCCUACGGGAGGCAGCAGUAAGGAUAUGCUCAAUGGGGAACCCUGAAGCAGCAACGCCGCGUGAAGGAUGAAAUACUUUUGUAUGUAAACUUCU
This 406-nucleotide ribosomal RNA is filed under the name uncultured bacterium. Its description in RNAcentral is "bacterial SSU rRNA". It matches the Rfam family "Bacterial small subunit ribosomal RNA", at positions 28 to 434 of the family's 1533-position model. The record is from RNAcentral.